UAUAUAGUGAUUGGAGGGACGCAGUAGGCUAAGAUAUGCCAGUUAAUGGAUUCUGGUCUAAGCAGUGAGGUUUGGUAUGAGUCAAAUGCUUGUACCUUUAAGAUUGAGCUGUGAUGGGGAAGCACUUUCGAGUGCGAAGUAUCUGAUGUCACACUGCCAAGAAAAUCUUCUAGCGUUUAAUUAUAACCUACCCGUACCGCAAACCGACACAGGUAGUCGAGGCGAGUAGCCUCAGGUGAGCGAGAGAACUCUCGUUAAGGAACUCGGCAAAAUGACCCCGUAACUUCGGGAGGAGGGGUGCUCUACAUUUGUAGAGCCGCAGUGAAUAGGCCCAAGCGACUGUUUAUCAAAAACACAGCUCUCUGCUAAAUCGUAAGAUGAUGUAUAGGGGGUGACGCCUGCCCGGUGCUGGAAGGUUAAGAGGAGUGCUUAGCGUAAGCGAAGGUAUGAAUUGAAGCCCCAGUAAACGGCGGCCGUAACAAUAACGGUCCUAAGGUAGCGAAAUUCCUUGUCGGGUAAGUUCCGACCCGCACGAAAGGCGUAACGAUUUGGGCACUGUCUCAACGAGAGACUCGGUGAAAUUUUAGUACCUGUGAAGAUGCAGGUUACCCGCGACAGGACGGAGAGACCCAUGGAGCUUUACUGCAAGUUGAUAUUGAGUAUCUGUUGCACAUGUACAGGAUAGGUAGGAGCCAUUGAACUGAGGACGCUAGCUUUCAGUGAGGCGUUGUUGGGAUACUACCCUUGUGUCAUGGCUACUCUAACCCGCACGGCUAAUCGUCGUGGGAGACAGUGUCUGCUGGGCAGUUUGACUGGGGCGGUCGCCUCCUAAAGAGUAACGGAGGCGCUCAAAGUUUCCCUCAGCAUGGUUGGAAAUCAUGCGUAGAGUGUAAAGGUAUAAGGGAGAUUGACUGCGAGACAUACAAGUCGAGCAGGUACGAAAGUAGGACUUAGUGAUCCGGUGGUACCGCAUGGAAGGGCCAUCGCUCAACGGAUAAAAGCUACCCUGGGGAUAACAGGCUUAUCUCCCCCAAGAGUUCACAUCGACGGGGAGGUUUGGCACCUCGAUGUCGGCUCGUCGCAUCCUGGGGCUGUAGUCGGUCCCAAGGGUUGGGCUGUUCGCCCAUUAAAGCGGCACGCGAGCUGGGUUCAGAACGUCGUGAGACAGUUCGGUCCCUAUCCGCUGCGGGCGUAGGAAAUUUGAGAGGAUCUGCCCUUAGUACGAGAGGACCGGGGUGGACUUACCGCUGGUGUACCAGUUGUCUUGCCAAAGGCAUCGCUGGGUAGCUAUGUAGGGAACGGAUAAACGCUGAAAGCAUCUAAGUGUGAAACCAACCUCAAGAUGAGAUUUCCCAUUCUUUAUGAAUUAAGAGCCCUGAGAGAUGAUCAGGUAGAUAGGCUAGAAGUGGAAGGGUAGUGAUGCUUGGAGCGGACUAGUACUAAUAGCUCGAGGACUUUACCAG
Molecule: ribosomal RNA, 1463 nt
Filed under: metagenome
Description: bacterial LSU rRNA
Rfam family: Bacterial large subunit ribosomal RNA
Source: RNAcentral